Leptonychotes weddellii (Weddell seal) is the source of this 430-nucleotide non-coding RNA. Lineage: Eukaryota; Metazoa; Chordata; Mammalia; Carnivora; Phocidae. The record is from RefSeq and is a predicted model, not a curated record.
GGAUGGAGCAGACAGCCUUGAAUGUCAUCAGAACCCAAGACGCGGUCAGGUUGCCUGGAAAACAGGCUCAGAUGGAAAUUUGUGUGCAGGAAGUUUACUGAGGAUUAUUCUCAGGAUCAAGAUGGUGAGGGAGUAGGAAACAAGAAUAAGAAGAGAAGCCUACCUCCUGGUGCUGAGACUCCUUCACUGCCAUAACUUCAAGCCAACAGAUGAUCCUUUCUACCCAAGGAGAUUCACAAAUGUUGUCUACCUUGGAUUUGGCUGCCUCUGCCGUUUGUAACUCCUAUAUAUAAGUUCCCCAAUGGAUCGAUGUUGACCCGUAGGUAGGGACAUCUCUAUGCCCCUAUUCAGCAGGAAGACAUUACAGAAGAUAAGACCUUCCACCCUCAGCAAUCUUAAAGAUUUAAGGGUCAAAAUUGUUCAUGGGGUA